This 194-nucleotide ribosomal RNA is filed under the name uncultured Entrophospora. Its description in RNAcentral is "uncultured Claroideoglomus partial 18S ribosomal RNA". It matches the Rfam family "Eukaryotic small subunit ribosomal RNA", at positions 569 to 766 of the family's 1831-position model. Lineage: Eukaryota; Fungi; Glomeromycota; Glomeromycetes; Entrophosporales; Entrophosporaceae. The record is from RNAcentral.
AGCAACCGCGGUAAUUCCAGCUCCAAUAGCGUAUAUUAAAGUUGUUGCAGUUAAAAAACUCGUAGUUGAAUUUCGGGAUCAAUAUAUCGGUCGUGCUAUUGUACGUACUGGUAUAAUCGGUUUCUCCUUUCUGACGAACUAUGAUGCCAUUAAUUUGGUGUUUUAGGGAAUCAGGACUGUUACUUUGAAAAAAU